RNAcentral lists this ribosomal RNA (253 nucleotides) under uncultured bacterium. RNAcentral describes it as "partial 16S ribosomal RNA". It matches the Rfam family "Bacterial small subunit ribosomal RNA", at positions 524 to 776 of the family's 1533-position model. The record is from RNAcentral.
UACGUAGGGACCGAGCGUUGUCCGGAAUCAUUGGGCGUAAAGAGCGUGUAGGCGGCCACUUAAGUCCUGCGUGAAAUCUUGCGGCUCAACCGCAAGCGGUCGUGGGAAACUGGGUGGCUAGAGUGCGGGAGAGGAGAGUGGAAUUCCUGGUGUAGCGGUGGAAUGCGCAGAUAUCUGGAGGAACACCGGUGGCGAAGGCGGCGAUCUGGCCCAACAUUGACACUCAGACCCGAAAGUGCGGGGAUCAAACAGG